GACGUAGGGGGCGAGCGUUGUUCGGAAUUACUGGGCGUAAAGCGUGCGUAGGCGGACUUAUAAGUCAAGGUUGAAAUAUCCGGGCUCAACUCGGGGCACGGCCUUGAUACUGCAAGUCUUGAGUCAAGUAGAGGGUAAUGGAAUUCCCGGUGUAGCGGUGAAAUGCGUAGAGAUCGGGAGGAAGGCCGGUGGCGAAGGCGGCGCUCUGGAACAUUUCUGACGCUGAGGCUCGAAAGCGUGGGGAGCAAACAGG
This 253-nucleotide ribosomal RNA is filed under the name uncultured prokaryote. RNAcentral's name for it is "partial 16S ribosomal RNA". It matches the Rfam family "Bacterial small subunit ribosomal RNA", at positions 524 to 776 of the family's 1533-position model. The record is from RNAcentral.